Molecule: long non-coding RNA, 7824 nt
Organism: Capra hircus (goat)
Lineage: Eukaryota; Metazoa; Chordata; Mammalia; Artiodactyla; Bovidae
Exons: 3
Source: RefSeq, a predicted model, not a curated record
GGCGCCUGGAAACGGCCGCCGUAGAGUUGGCGGACUUGCGAAGGAGCGAAGAUGGCGGAGUGAAGCACAUUGAGGCUAUCUGGCCUUUGGGCCAGGGGGCGGGCCGGCCCCCGGGCGCUGGAGUGCUUCUGCCGGCCCUUUCGAGGAAGAACAAUUUCCUUGCCAUUUAGGUGCUUUUAUAUUCAUCUCAAAAAGAAACAAAAUGCUGAACUCGGGAUUUGGCAAGUGCUUCUACAUUGUCUCCUAGAGUGGGGUAGUCCUGCUUCUCUUAUCCAGUCACCUUCCCUGUUGAAAUGUGGAUGUUUCUUCUCUACACGUUGCCUCCGUGACUUGCACUGGAAAGGCUGCUCUUCUUUUUGCUCCCACUCACAUUCAGCACAGAGAAGCCCUGGGCACAGUCCUUCCACCAGGUUCUCCUGGAAGAGAGGAGCAGCUGAAUCACAAAGGAAUUAUUUCAAAAGCUGAAGGCUGAUGUCUCGUUUGAAGCAGAUGCUUUGAUGGUGAUAUUUGUGAAUUCUUUACCUUUUGUUCCAAACAAGAAGACUGAAUAUAAAUAGCAGGUAUCGGUAUCACAUCAGGGUUCUGGGGUUUUUUUGUCUUCCAGUUUUAAUCACUAUCAUGAUAAGCACAGUUAAGACUUAAAACAGUAAAUUCCAGAUAUAUGUUCUAAUUUGAAAUGAAAGAGAUGCUUAAAGAGAUGGCUUACAUAUGUAUCUAAAUCCUGGCUUAUCCUUUGACAUGGAUUUACUAGAUAAGAACAAAGGUCCCGAUUUGCAAUAAAACCGUUGAUGUGAUAAAGAAGUAAAAAGACAAGAUAUCACAAGGUUACUUCCAUAUGUGAAUAAACCAUCACAAACCUAUAAAUAGCUGUUUUUACAUAUGUAAGUCCACAGUUUGGGAUGAUAAGAGGAAUUUUUCUCCUGGAGAAGGAAGCUGUGGUUGACUUCAUUCUCAGAAAUCUUUGGAUAUUUGGUAUUUUUAAAUGUUUUUUCAUUCAUCUAAGGAGUGACCACAUUGUGCAGAUGCUAACCUUAUGAAUGCAUGCUUGGGUUUAGUGAAAGAUUGGUAAAAGGAAACAAGUUUUGACUCCAGUGAUGGAACCCUCUUCACCUCUGGAGCAUGAGAGACCUACUAUAUUACAAAGUGUUUCAUUCUUUUUUGUGGAGUCUUAUAUAGCGCUUGAGACUUGGUUUUACAUGCUGCUAAGGCUGGAAGAAAAGUGGCAUAAGUGGAUUUUCUGUUCAGGGGAUGUGAUGGACCCUACCGUAUGACCUGCCUCAGCUGUGGACAUAGAGGAGUGGAGGAAAAAAGGAGGAAACUUUCCGUAUUACUCCUUUCCCUUGGAAAAAUAAGUGAAAGUGCUUUAUGCAGCUCUGAGUUUAUGGCAUUUCACAUUCUUACAGCUCUGUUUUUUGUAAAAGCAUAAAUAACUGUUUUCCUUUGACCCAAAAUGGGUUCUUGGCUAUUUGUUUUUCUAGGCAAUAGGUGUAAUGUCUGACUGAAAAGGCUUGGACUCAGGUAACUUUCUCCAGUUGGAACUGAACUUUCUCAUCAGAGAAUGGACCUCAGAAGAAAUGUACCCAAACGUGAUUGGUUCCGUGUAGAUUUAGAAAAAUUCAGAGUGUGAAAAAAAGGAGGGGAGAAACCCUCAAACAGGAAAAAUAAUUCCAAUAAGAAAAGUAAUGCACUUCCUUUCUGUGAAAACAUGUAUUAUCUGAUGAACAGUCUAUAGGGUAAAGCUGUCCUUGCUUCCAAGUCAACAGAGGACCACUGUAUGAAUUUCCAGGUCUUUACAUAAGAAGGAAACCUUUUAUAGUAAGUCUGUGAGUAGAGAAAGAAUUUAAAGCUGCUUCGAUGAAAUUAAGAUCAAAUCAUCUUAGAUUAUCUCUGUGAUAUACAGAAUGUUUGCCCAGGGCCAUACGUGCUGUGCUGCUGAAAUCUUGGGAAAGAUUUAUCAGAAUUUGAGAGUGAUAGAAAUAGCCAAAAUUGGAAAAUAAUUGAGUAUUCUUAAUCAUUAGUUAAAUUGGUCAGCUAGUUUGCAUUGACAUAAAACAUUUUGGCAAAAUAAUUACAUGAUAUAGAUAAAAUAUAAUUUCCCUUAAUUGCGAGCAAUUACUCAGUGCUGUAAAGCAUAGUCAAAGUAGCUUGGAUAAAGGUAACUUAAAUUUUUCUCUUAGUAACUUCUCAGCCAUUUCCUGAUGUUUUCUCUCAGUAUUUUGGAAUUGUUAAAAACUGUAGGAAUGCUUUAGGAAUGGAACCUGCCUAUAUAAGUCCCGUUCGUACGUUGAAAAUAUCUACAUUUGUUUGUUAAAGCCAUCUCCUCCCCCCGCCCUUUUUUUUUUUUUGGCAAGAAUCUUUUGGCAGGGUAUAGCAGAGACGUGUACCAGCAGAACCAGUGAAACUGUCUCUUUUCCACUUGUUUAAAUAUGUGUAUCAGACUCAUCUUCUCAAGUUGCUUUACAUAUUUUCAUUUCACAGCUAAGAGACCACUGCUUAAUGCUUUCUUUCAAAUUGUUUCUGCAUCUUCCAUGAUUUUCAUCAGAUGGCACUUAACAAAAUGGGUAUAUUCCAGUUGUAUUUGCCCGGUGUUUACUUACUGCAUCCACAUUGUUUUCCCUGAUGUAUUUUGUUCCACUUCAUGAUGGCAAAAGCUAUAAUUUUAGGCAGGACUAUGCCUCUUUCUGUAGCUGUGCCUACUUCCUUUACUUUGCUUAUCCAUGUUAGCUGGCAUUUUUUUCUUUAAAAAAAGUUGAACAAAAACGGGAUAUGUGCAAUAGAAAUAUAUAUAUGUAUAUUUUUUUUUCUAAAUACUUGUGGACAAAUGUUACAAGUUGUUUAAGAACAACAAAAUCACCAAUGUCUUCCAUUUUGAGAUGUGUAUAGUUUUGUAAGCAUUAGUGCUUGGUAGCAUAUUGUAGUGCCAUGUUAGGGGUUAGUGCAUGAACUUAGUAAUACUUUAAACUUCAGGAUGAAUUACAGAAAAUAAUAGUGUAAAAAGAUUGGGAAAUCUAGACCUUUUGUGUUUUUUUCAUAAAUAUCUGAAUCUGUGAUAUUCUCCCUGGGGAAAAAGAGAUUAAAGCCAAAAGUACUCAUUUAGGAAUAGAAAUGUGGGGUCACAACAUGAGAUACUGUCUUUGAGGAUAUUUAAGCUUUUCAUGAGGUAGCUGGAAAGCAGUUGCCUUUGUGUCUUUAUGAAACCUUACAUCAAAACAAGGCCCUAUUUCAUGAUUUGGCUUUGCUCUCUCAAGUUUGAAGUGAAAUUGUUCUUACACUGUUUUCACAUUGUAUGUCUGGUAGGUUUAUUGUUUUCCCACUCCUUUUGCAUCAGAUUAUUUUGUAUUUUGCAUGUUACCAAGAUUAUGUGUUUAUUGCUCAAGUGACUGUUUUUCUGAUCUGCAGGCCAUUUAUGCUUCCAUCUACAGUAUGCUACGGGUUAACAGAACAACACUGAUCAGUAGUUCAGAGUGUCCUAGAUGAAUUUCUCAUGGGUUUUUCCUGUUUUUAAAUCUGCUGAAUUGUGUAUUGAUGGGAUUCUAGACCUUUUCAUGAGAAUUGGAAAUGAAGCUAAAUGGAGCCUACCUAGGCUGCCAUGUGUUAACUCUCUGCUUGGUUAUAGUGAUUGCCUCAGACAGCUUUCACUUUUUUCUGCUUUCCUCAUAGAAAUAAAAGUUUGUUUUGUUCUGAAAGCAUAGCUUUCUGCAGAAAAGAAAUUCCUACCUCUAAAAGCUUUCUUGAGAACUUGGAAAUGGCAGUUUUCUGCUGUGGUUUUUAGAUCUCAGGAGAGUUCAGGAUAGACACAAAUUCUACAGUUAGUAUGAUAGGAAAUGCAAAACAUUUUUAAUGUGGUGUGACACGUGCAGAAGCAGGCUUAAACAAAUUGACUCUUGGGCAGCAGAUCUCCAGGGACCCAGGUUUUAGAUUCUAAGAUUGUACUUAAAAGUGGUUGUACUCUUGGUUCAAGUAGUUUAGUGCCUGGGAGAAUCCACUUCUGCAAAGCAUUUAAACGUUUUUAAAAAUACCUCUGCAAAGGUAAUGAAUGCAAAAUAGCAGAGUAUAUAGGAAAGGAUAUUUCCUAUUGCAAAAAAAAAAAAGCCAUAAAACAAGCUCAUAAUUUUCAGGAGGUAGAAUUUCAGUAGCAAUAACAGUUUUGCAUGUAUAAUAAGUUGCAUUAGCAAGAUUGUACAAUAGACUACUACUUGAAUUUGAGACUGCGAUCAACAGAAUUCCAUGAAAGGAAAAAGAUGUUUUAGAUAAAGAGUGUAUAAAGGUACUUAAAAAAAAACUAUGAAUGUGCAUGAAUAUAUCAUUAUGUGAGAAAUAGCAACUUUUGUGUAAGUCAAAGUUUAAAUACUUUACUUGGUUGCUAGAGCAGAGGUUCUUUAGAGCCUCGUUAAAUUAACCUUAUCUGAUGCUUAACCUGGAAACAUACCCCUGCUGACGUAUCCCCACUGAAGCGCAUCGUGUGGGGAUUUUGCUCAUGACGUUUCUUUUAGCAACAGGCCAUUUAUAAAAUGGCAUACAUUUUGCUUUGUCACCUCAUCUUUCUCCAUUAGUUUCCUGGGUACAUUUUUUAAAAGAGAGAAAAGUUUGUUGUGUGUAUAUAUUUAUGGUUUAAAAAACAAACCAAGAGCUUGGAUAACUGGCUUUUCCUCAUGCCUAUUAGUAUAGGGGAGUUAGGAUUUCAAGGUGUUAAGCAAAAGGAUUGAAAGGAAUGGCCAAAGGCAGUACAUCAUCUAAUGUAGAUGUGCCAAAGCCUGGGGUUUAUGACAGCUUAUUUUAUCAGGAACCCAGCAAACUAGUUUCUUGAUCUGAAGAACAACACAGCUCUCACAUCUAGAUGUAAUUGUGGAACAAGGGCGACUACUUUUACCUCAUGUUCAUCUUGGCCAUUUAGUACCUUGAAGAUUCCCCAAAAGAGUGUGUUCCCUUGUUUCCCAGGGGGGAAAGCUGAAAGAUAAAUAGAGUGGAUCUAAGAAGAUAGUGCCUCUUGAAUACUAAAUUCUUAAAUGGCAACUCCAAAGGAUAGAGAAAAGGCUAUAUUAUUAAAUGAUUAUAGCUCCUCUUUAUAUGUCCUAUGCCUUCAGUUGGUGUUAGAGGCAUUGGAAUAACCAAGCAAUAUUCAGACAUCUGCACGAUCAUGAGGACACCACUGCAUGUUACAGUGAUGUCAACAGUUGAGUUACUUAGAACAAUUAAAGAUUACCCUCAACAGCCACAUAACAGUUCUAAAUGCUCAAAUAUGCUCUUGAGUUUUUGUGGUCUCAAAGUAUGGUUGAUUAUUUUCCAAUAUUGUGAUCCCAUGUUUACUCUUUAUGUACCUGUGAUAUGCAAAAUAUGAAGAGACCCUUGGCCUCCAGGAGUUUACAUUCUCAUGGUGCUGCUGGUACAAGCAAAUUGCUUCUCGUUUAUUCAGAACAUUGCUUGGCUGUUAAUUAUACCAUGUUUGGAAGGAUUCCUUGGCCAACAGUUUUCAAAAGCAGAGGGCUAUGCUAAACUUCAGGGCAUUGAUUUUUGAGUUUACAUUGUAUUAGCUCUGCUGUUCAUAAACUCCUUUUCCCCAGGGAGCUGUGCAGGUAUGCUCAUUAAUGUGAAUCAGAAACCAUUCUGCCUAAGAGCAUUUUCACCGUCUACACCACCUAUGUAUGCUCUUCUAUGCCAUCACUGUCAGUAAAUGGCCAAGAAAACUUAACUGCUCCAGAGGACAUCUGUCAGUACUCUUUUCCCAAAUUUUUACAUUAUUCUCUACCCGAAAGGACCAGAAUUUGCAAUUAAGCCUUUUAUAACUGAAUAGGGUCCAAAUUUUAACCUUUUUGUGUGUGACUUUUGUACCUCUGUUCUGAAGCAGCAUUGUGAUAGAUGUGGAGCAGCUGCCUGCAUUUCUAAGCAAUCACUUUAUCAGCCUAUAUUUUCAGUGGAAACCGCAUGUAUCCUUGUAAUUUCCCCUAAUUCCUCUUAGUCAAAGAGUUUACUCUGCAUGUUUAUUAAAACUGGGUCUGAAUGAAAGUACGAGCAAUAGUGGCAGGCCCGUAACUCUUUAGAGUAUAAUAUUCCUAAUGCAUGGUUGAAAAUGUACAGUGUUAAUGUGGUUACUAGUAAUUAUAUAUAUCCAUUUAUUAGUAAUGAAGCAAUAGAGACUUAAACCACUAUCUUGAAUUUAUUGUUUGGAUCAUUAGUUUUCAUUUUCUAAGUAAAGACUCUUUCUUCCGUUGAAAAUGGGAGCUAGAACAGGGGCAACCACAAGACAUUCAGACUGUCAAGAAGAGAGCAUAACAGUGCUCACCCUCUAACUUCUUGCCUGGUUCCAUUAGUCCCCAAGCAUGUUUAAAAACAAAGCACAAACUAAGCAUGUUGAAUAAAAAGCUGUUGUGGCUCUAAUAAUCAAGUGCAGAGUUUCAGAAAGGGUAUGGAGUGCCAGUGUGGAAGAUGUAACCAGGAAUGGGAUUUGUCUGAUAAAGUUUAUGUGGCUUAACUUUGGAUCUCUUUAAGACUAGAAUCUUGAAAGUGAAGAGAGACAAUAAUGCACGUACUUCAGAUGUUCCAGGAUUUUCAGGUAACUGGGCAGCUCUUUGGAUGGUACUGCUAUUAACCAGCCGUAAGAGUUCCUUCCAGCAAAGGAGCCCUUUACAUUUUAUGGAGAUAGUCCUUAAAAUACUCACAUCUGUAGUUUGGUUUCUCUGUUGUUCCUGUAUUCAAAUUUUCAAAGAAAAGUUUUAUAGCCAGAGUUUUAUAAUUUGUUGCUUAAAGUUUUUUAUGCCAGGUAAAAAGGAGCAGCUUUUCCCAUUUUGAAGAAAAACCUUGUCAUUUAUUUUCUUGACGUAGAAAAUAGACCAGUUUAUUGUGAUAGCUUACAAUUUUUUGAGAUGAUUUCUGAUUUUGAAAUAACCUAUGAAAGAACAUGUGAUCAUGACAAAUGUACAAAUGGGAUUCAUUGUAUCUGAAAGAGGCCUAAGUAGAAGAGAAUUCAGAAUUAGACUGGUUUUCACUAGGCACCAUCCAGUUUCACAUUCAGUGAUUGAAAAUUAUUUCUACCUGACUUUAAUCUUUGCUGUGGGAUUUGAUUCCAAAUACCUUUGGAUAACUUUCCAGUAGUUAAAAAUUGAAUUACUAAUAGUCAUUUGACUCAGUUCAGGAAGUGAAAUGUCAUAUCCCAUAUGUAAAGUUUCUCUUUGGUACUUAAUGAUAACAUGUCUGCCAAACAAACCAGUAAAGAUUAAAGGACAGAGUUUCUCUCAUCUCUGCUUCCAUUAUUCCACUAGGGCAUAUUAAAAUGUUAAUAUUAGAAAUCCAAACAUCACAGAUUUCUCCAGGAACUCACAGAUUUCUCCAGGAACUCAUACUUCUCCAACGUUUAAGUCAGAAUAGAUAUGUUAAGGUUAGAAUUUUCAAAAGAUUUUGUCUCCUUUGGUGAUGGUAUGCCACACCAUAGAUUAAAAUGUUUUUCUCCCAGGGAUAAGUAUUCUGGCAAUAAAUUAUCAUCAGUCCUUAAGCAACAGUAAUGUUUUCACCCUUACCUUAAAACCACCGAUCACUGGUAAUUUUAAAAGAUUCAUAUUAGAAUAACCUUCACAGAGACUUACUUCAGUAGCUUGUUUUUACUGUUCAGCAUCUUCUUCCCAUGGUAUAUAAGAUAAUGUUAAAAGACUUUCAUUGACUGUUUGGAAUUUUACAAAAGGCCACUUACUUUCUAAUCUAUGCAUCUUUGGGAUUGUAGAUUAAAUUUUAUUCUUUGCUGUAAAAAGGAACUGCUGUAAGAGUUAGAAACUCUGCACCUGUGUACAUAUAUAUUUUGGCAAUAAAGCAGCAUGGGCUGAGAAUGCACUGAAA